GAUGAACGCUGGCGGCGUGCUUAACACAUGCAAGUCGAACGGAAAGGCCCUGCUUUUGUGGGGUGCUCGAGUGGCGAGCGGGUGAGUAACACGUGAGUAACCUGCCCUUGUCUUUGUGAUAACUUCAGGAAACUGGGGCUAAUACCGGAUAGGAGCUCCUGCUGCAUGGUGGGGGAUGGAAAGUUUCGGCGGUUGGGGCUGGAAUAGCGGCUUAUCAGCUUGUUGGGGGAGUAGGGGAUGACCAAGGCUUUGACGGGUAGCCGGCCUGGGAGGGUGACCGGGCACAUUGGGACUGCGAUACGCCCCAGUCGCCAACGGGAGGCAGCAGUCGGGAGUAUUGCACAAUGGGCGGAAGCCUGAUGCAGCAGCGCCGCGUGCGGGAUGACGGCCUUCGGGGUGUAAACCGCUUUCGCCUGUGACGAAGCGUGAGUGACGGUAAUGGGUAAAGAAGCACCGGCUAACUACGUG
This 468-nucleotide ribosomal RNA is filed under the name uncultured bacterium. Its description in RNAcentral is "partial 16S ribosomal RNA". It matches the Rfam family "Bacterial small subunit ribosomal RNA", at positions 28 to 507 of the family's 1533-position model. The record is from RNAcentral.